GGGGGUGUAGCUCAGUUGGUAGAGNNAGAGCGCUUGAAUGGCAUUCAAGAGGUCAGGAGUUCAAUUCUCCUCACCUCCACGA
RNAcentral lists this transfer RNA (82 nucleotides) under Spirochaetaceae bacterium. Its description in RNAcentral is "tRNA-Ala". It matches the Rfam family "tRNA". From Rfam's summary of the family: Transfer RNA (tRNA) molecules are approximately 80 nucleotides in length. Their secondary structure includes four short double-helical elements and three loops (D, anti-codon, and T loops). The record is from RNAcentral. Lineage: Bacteria; Pseudomonadati; Spirochaetota; Spirochaetia; Spirochaetales; Spirochaetaceae.